RNAcentral lists this ribosomal RNA (253 nucleotides) under uncultured bacterium. RNAcentral describes it as "partial 16S ribosomal RNA". It matches the Rfam family "Bacterial small subunit ribosomal RNA", at positions 524 to 776 of the family's 1533-position model. The record is from RNAcentral.
UACGGGGGGGGCAAGCGUUGUUCGGAAUUUCUGGGCGUAAAGGGCUCGUAGGUGGCCAACUAAGUCGGACGUGAAAUUCCUCGGCUUAACCGGGGAACUGCGUCCGAUACUGGUUGGCUUGAGUUUGGGAGAGGGAUGCGGAAUUCCAGGUGUAGCGGUGAAAUGCGUAGAUAUCUGGAGGAACACCGGUGGCGAAGGCGGCAUCCUGGACCAAUACUGACGCUGAGGAGCGAAAGCCAGGGGAGCAAACGGG